Molecule: non-coding RNA, 10281 nt
Organism: Equus caballus (horse)
Lineage: Eukaryota; Metazoa; Chordata; Mammalia; Perissodactyla; Equidae
Source: RefSeq, a predicted model, not a curated record
AAAAGGAAGAUUUGGAGACAGAGACCCAGGGAAGAAGGCCACAUGAAGAUGAGGCAGAGAUUGGAGUCAGGCAGCUACAAGCCAAGGAACACCGAGGAUUACUGGCGACCACCAGAAGUAGGAAGAUACCCUCCCAGAAACAUCAGAGAGGCCAUGGCCCUGCCAACACCUUGAUUUGUGACUUCCGGCCUGCUGAGCUGUGAGAGAAUACAUUUCUGUUGUUUUACGCCACCCAGUCUGUGGUAUGUGUUACAGCAGCCACAGGAAACCAAUAUAGCGUGUCUGAGGUGUACGUUGGGGGACGAGGUGCUAAGAAUCCAUGCUUUGGAUGGGCUCACCUGGUGGUGGUGGUGCUUUAGGGGAACACUGCACUAAAGAAUGCUGCUUUCUCAGAAACCCAGAGGGCAGGAGGCUGCCCGUUCAUCUGCUUCCCACGUUCUGCUAGCUUCGGUGACGUUACUUUCCCUCUGUCCUGCCUUUCUCAUGUCCCGCCUGUCUUUCGGGUUCUUGCUAUCCAGCGUUACACCAUCUGAUGCCACACUGGUCACUUCCUUACGUUGUUUGAGUCAUGCUCAUUCAGAUAUGGCCCCUGAUCUGUGAUCAUGGGGGGUGGUGGGAGUGUCCAAUCAGAGCUAAGACCCGGUGGGCAAUGGACACAUCAUAUUAUUAAAUUUAGCUUUACUCCACAUAAGCUGCCCAUUCUCGUGGCUAUACUGUGAACCUCCUCAUUCCUAGAAAUCUUAAACACCAACAUCCUGUCUUCAAUCCUAUAGUCCUCUCAUUGCUUUACUCCCUGACACCUGCACAUCAACUGCAUAGUGGCCGCCAGUCUCUCUCCUUCCAUCCAGCCUGGAUCCCUUGGUCAGCUCAGCAGCCUGGUCCCCUGCACCUCCCCUUCUUUGACCACACCCACCCACAAACAUGCAGCCUUAGGUCCCUCCCACCUGCCAUGUUCUCUGCCCUUUUGCUGGGCUGGAGAAAACGUAGAACUUGGAGACCAUGCCAUUACAGAUGUGUGAUCUCCAGUGCCACCUGGGCCUUUCUGACAGCUGGAAAAUCCUUAAGUAUGUUAUUCCUAAUGUUCGUUAUUCUCCCCGAAGUUUAUACCACAGUUUACUGCCCUCAGUGGCAGAUGCAUCUCAAGAAGAAAAUGUACACCAUGGGAGGGAGCCUCCAACUUUCCCAUACCGUUCCCAUCCCACCCCUUGGACCAGCACGCCAGUGUCUGGGAGGGAGGACCACUUCUGAAUGUCCAAGGCUGGUCCCCUGCCUGUGCUCCAGCUGCCACCCUUCCAACAAUAGCUAACUUUUGUUGAGGACUUGCUACGUAUCUACGUAUGUAUCCCACUGUACAGAGUGUUUUCUGACCAUCACCUCUUAGAAUUCUGGCAACAUCCCCUUGAGGUAAGUCCUAUUGUAUAUUUUCCUUUCCUGGAGGAAAGCAGGGCUCAGACUGAUUAAGCAGCUUGCCCAAAGUCACUGUCUUACUUUGGGUCCCCCCCCCCAACCCGGGCAGAACUGGAGACAAGGACUUGGGGGAAGGAAGUCUUCAGAAGGUAGUUUCAGGAAGCACAAGUCAAGAAGUGGGCAAAAUAAGACAGGAAAGGGAGAAAGCCAAAAAGCAUGUAAAUGAUUAGGUUAGCACAGUGGGUAGUGGGGCUCAGCCCUGUUGGCGCCUCUCUCAGAAACUGUGUGGAACCCCCUCUGGUUGGCGGAAUAAUGCACCUCCUGCCCCCAGAAGAUUGUCUAUGUCCCAUUCCCCGGAACCUGUGAAUAUAUUAUGUUCCAAGGUAAAGAGGAAUUGAGUUUGCUAAUCAGUUAACCUUAAGGAGAUUAUUCUGGGUUAUAUGGGUGGGCCCAGUGUAUCCACAAGCGUCCUUAAAAGUGGAAGAGGGAAUAGAGAACAGAGCGAUGUCAGCCUGAGAAGGAUCUGGCCCGACAUCGCCGGCUUUGAAGAUGGAGGAAGGGGCAUGAAUCAAAGAAAACAGGAGCCUUCUGGAAGCUGGAAAAGGUAAGGAAACAGCUUCUCCUCUAGAGCCUCCACAAGGAAUGACCCCUGCUGGUACCUUGGUCUUGGCCCAGUGAGAUCCGUGUCAGAUUCUGAUCCGCAAAACUGUCAGAUUGUAAAUGUGUGUUGUUUCAAACUGCAAAGUUUGUGGUAAUUUGUCCCAGCAGCAAUAGAAAACGAAUACAUCUCCUUAAAAUCACGCCACUGGCAGGCUGGAAGGCUGAGGCACUCAUCCAUGGACUCUCAUCUUUCAUUGGCUGAGGGUUGCCCCUGGGGCAGUGGACGGAGACUCAGAACUUCCUGCCCUGGAGAAGCAGCCCUGGAGGACCAGGCAGGCAGGUGAUGGAGGUGGAACACUGCCAGUGGGCUGGAAACUCUCCCCAACGCUUCAGGUGAAACCAGAAGCAGGCUGGGCAUUGAUGGUGUCGACAGCCUCUGCCACAGGGCCCAGCUGUAAGCAGUCAAGCCAGGAUUGGAACGGGGUUAAGUGUGGAGCCCACGUGCCUAGCCUAGGACUUCCCUGUGGCAUUUGAGGCCAUGACAUAGGAGGCUCAAGGGCUAUUUCUACUAGACAGUGCUAUUCCGGAGGACUCCCCCAUCCCCAGAGCCCCAGACACAGACAUUCACCACUUAGGUGGCUCUCGUUGCCUCUGGCUCCACUUUUCCAGUUGCGGUUCUCACUCAUGGGUGUGCACGGAUGAUCGUAGGUGGUAUGUGGAAGAACAUUAAUUUGUAUAGUCACAUGUUCGUUGUAACACACAUUGAGAAGAUUUAACUGACAUAUAAAACCUGUGAUUUCAUGGACAUUAUUAUUUAGGACAAAAAGGGAGUCAACUUAAAGAAAAAUUUAAAGAAACAAGAGCACAGCCUAAAGUGAUAGCAUUGGUCAAGUAAAUAAUAGCUACAGGAUAAAUUUCAGAAAAAUACAAACAACCUGCAUGAUCCAGCUUCUCCUUUUCCUCUCUGAUCUGAUCUCCGGAAGGUGCCCGCUUUCUCUUCUUCAGCCACACAGCCAUACUGAGUGCAUCCACACCCCCAGGCUCACCUGCUCUUUCUCCACUUUGCGUCUUGGCAAGCACCAUAUCUUUGCUUGUACCACCUCGUCUCCCUUUCUGGCAAAGGAAAACCAAACUUGUAAGAUUCUGCUCCAAGAGCCUUCCCUCUGAAGAGUUCUCUGGCUACUUCGGGGGAACAACCACCCCAUCUGUGGUAGGCAGAAUAAUGGCCCCUCAAAGAUGUCCACAUCCUAAUCACCCAUGAAUAUGUUACCUUGCGCGGCAAAAGGGACUUUGCAGAUGUGACUAAGUUAAGGAGUUUUUGAUGAGAAGAUUAUCCUGCAUUAUCUGGGUGAACAAGUGCAACCACCAGCAUCUUUUUAAGGAAAAAAGGAAGACAAGAGGAUAGAAAGAGAUGUGACAAAGGAAGCAGAGGUCAGAGUGAACUGGGGCCACCAGCCAAGGAAUGUGGGCAGCUUCCAGAAACUGGAAAAGGCAAGGAAAUGGAUUCUGCCCAAGAGACUCCAGAAGGAACACAGCCCUGCCAACCCAUUUUGGUCCUCGUCGUGGAACCUAUCCUGCUGAUUUGCAGUUCUUAUUCCAUAUAACUAAUCUCUCCUCCACAAUUCCACCCCUCCUCCAGAAGCCAUGAGCUCCUUGUAGAGACUGUGUCAUGUGUAUCUUUGCGGUAGGAAUGGCAGGAGAGUGGUAUUCUGGAAUUUGGGGACAAAGAAUUUAAGAAGGUAGGAGGAGUCAACAUUGUCAAGUACUACAGAAAAGUGAGGCAAGAUAAGGACCGAAAAUAGAUCAUUGGAUUUAAGAGGUCCCUAGUGGCCUUGGGAGAAGAUACUCACAUGCAGACGCCAGAGUGGAAGAUGAUGUAGUGGGCUGAUGAGUGAGUGGGAGUUGAAGAAGUGGAGAUAAUGAGCAUAAACACCUCUUUUAAGAGAUGUGUUGGAGAAGAAGAAGAGAGGACAUUCACCUGAGAGGGAAGAGAAGGAGUUUGUUUUUUAGAACCUCAAAAUCUUGGAGAGGUAUGUACGCCAAAGCGAAGCAGUCAAAGCAGAAGAGACUAAAGAUAUGAGAAUGGGAAGUGACAGGGAGAUGAAGAUCCAAAAGACAGGGAGGAGGAGAGGGAUUCUGGCGUGCGGACCGAGGCAGAAGAGGAAGCGAGGACGGGGGCUCUGGGAGGUAAGUUUGUUGGCAGAUUAUGCAGUGUUUGUUUUGUUUCUGCUUUCUUCACUACACUGUAAGCUCUGUGUGCACAGAUUGUGGCUCUGUGCUCAACACAGAAAUAACAGUUAACACUGAAAAUCACUUGCUCUGUUCCAGACACUGUUGUAAGAGCUCUGCCUAUGUUAACUCAUUUAAUCCUCAUGACAACCCUAUGAAGUAGGUAUCAUUAUUAUGCCCGCUUUAUAGAUGAGGAAAUGGAGGCACAGGGAGGGUAAGUAACUUGUCCAACGUCACAAAGGCUGAAAGUGGAGGACUUGGAUUUGAACCCAGCCUGUCUGUCUCCCAAGUCCACACUGCACAGAUGGGGUUGCUCAAGGAGUUGUCAAGCGAGUGAGGAACGGAGCUAGCUUUUCAUGCUCCCCCACAAAUAGGGUGGGUUUGCUUUCCUGCAUCUCUAUUUCUUCCUCCCCCCUUGUGGGGCCAUCAGCAUGAUCUUCUCACACAGAUGAGGGUGAAUGGAAGGGUGGCUAUCUGCUGGACCAAGGGUGACGUCACAAAGAUGCCUGAGACCUUAUCGCUUAAUCUCCACCUAGAGACAGGAGCCCAAAAUGCCCGGCUCCGUUAGGAUAACACCUUCCCAGACACCUCCCUCUUCCCUCUUUCUCCAUCUCAGCCAGAACUAGGAUUCCCUAGGCCAUCCCUUGCUUCUCAGCAGGUUACUGGAAUGUUCCUUCCACACCACCCCAUCACCCUCUGCAGGCCUGGCUUUGCAGCCUUAGAAUUUGCUAGCAGGACUUCGGGCUGGGGGCCAAGCUCAGAACCCUCCCGAAAGUAGGUUUCUAUGGGGAAGGCAGAAAUUCAGAACCAGACCCAGGAGGGCCAGAGGUAAUCGGUUCAGCGCCUAGGAAGGCCAGAGAACCUGGGAAGGCAAGAUGGGACCUUGGCACAUCAGAUGGGAAAGCAACGUGACCUGGACUAUAUCAUGAGAGAGAGCCUGCACCUGGCACCCCUCAGUGUCUGUGCCUUCGCAGCCAGCCUUGGCCUGGUGAGCGGAUUCUGGAAAGAAGUAAGAGCCUAAGGCUAAUUUUAGGCUGCAUCUUGAUCUUUUGGGGACCCUCUCAGUUUUCCCCUAGGCCCCUGUCUGGGCUUAUUCUUGUGACUACACGUCUUUCCAGACCAAUUUAACUCUCCCAAGGACUGAGGUUCCAGAUCCCUGUCUGAGAAACUGGCUGUUUUUCAUGCUAUGAAAUUUCCAGGUGAUGCGAAUCCCAAUAAAAAAUGGAAAUAGCUGGAAGGCAAAUAAAAUUUUAUUUUCUUGCACAACAUAAACAUGCUUUCUCUCUUCUCCUAAAUAUCAUUUCUCUCAUUUCACCACUCUUGCUGGAAAAGUCACAUCAACCAUAAGCCUUAUUUUUGAGAAACUACUAGUUUGCAGACACUGAGACCAGGUUAAAACCCCAAUCAAUAAAAGAGAAUUGCUGUAAUGCCAAGUGCUGGGCUGAGGUCUCAGGGAUUUUGGGGAGCAGCAGGGAAGGGGAAUUUGUGGACCUCCUGAAAUUAUGUGCAAAAUUGUGUCCACUUGUGCAUUUCCGGGAAGAGACUUCCUAGCUUUCAUCAACUCCUCAAAGGGGUCUAUGACCCCAAAAAUGAGUGCUUUGGUGGCAAAUGCUGUGGGAGAACAGAAUUUGGAAUUGGAGGAGAAAUUUGAAAAAUAAGGAGUACAUUAUUAUUCCACUAAUUCAUUAAUGCUACCGUAAUUUCAAUAAUCAUCAUUCUCAUCAGUGGUCUUUUACAAUCUUCCGUAAAAACCUUUUUUGGCAAGAAGAAAAAGAUCAUGAGAAAUUCAAGCCAUCGCAUUGGCACUUCUGUGUUUGAUCUCGGAAGGAGUGAAUUGAUUAUUUCUAAAUGAAGGACACUCAUUGAAGUCGAUCAUAGUUAAGAAGCCCCCUCCAGGCUUCCCCUAGGGUUCCCAUGGGACACUCCUCUCCCCAUCAAGCCUGGGGCUCCCUCAGAGGCCUGCUUCCUGCAGCAUCUCCCAGAUGUGGCUCUGAGGUUGGGCUCAGGAGGGCUCAUCAAACCGGCGCCUCGUGACAGGAUGAAGGAUUUAAACUCAGUCUAAGCACUAAUGCAGGGAGGCAUCUACGCUGAUGAAGAUGGACAGAAACACGCCCCCAGUGUGGUCGGUUGAAGGGGGUACUCUCCAUGGAAAUACAUUAACAAUAGGAUGCUCUCCGAAAUUCUGGCUCUGCACCUCCCAAAAUAUAGCCACAUUCCACAAGAUCCUACUGUGCUGUGGUGUUUUCCCUGGCGAAUCCCAUUUUUCUUAAGCACAAAAUUGAUUAAUUUGGUGCCGUAAAAUGAAGAUUUCCCUUUUUGCAUCCAGAGAGUAUCAAAGACUACAAAAUUAAUUAAGUUUUCUCUUUGUCUUUUUGAUCCAGGAAAGAACACUGUGGGAAAAAGCAGAUUAUUUUUCUUUCUUGCAUUUUUCACAUCCCUCUCUCUUCCUGUCUCCACUGAUUAAAAUGAGUGAUGUUGCACAUAAUUCCAAAAAAUGCAUAGACCACCCCCUCCCAAAUCCUGAGACCUUGAUAUCCAUCCACUCGUGAUAACUUAUCCUGUUCUUCCCUUGAACAUUCCGUUCCCUCUUUUUUUUUUUAAGGAAAGCUGCUCUUGCCUUCUAGCCAGAUAUGCUCUCCCCAUUUCCAGCUUCCUGUCCUUUGGGUAUUCUGCAAUAUAAUGAAUGAACAGUCUUGAUCGCCUUGGUUCGGGUGCAUCCCUUCACAUAUUUCUGAAUUACUUGUCACUGGCUCUCCUCUGUGCCCCAGGUUUAAGAUCCUCUGCCACGGUCGCAUUGUAAUAAAUAAUGAUUGUUAGAAGCCAAAUUUUCUCUAGUAUUUGGUGCAGGGAGAAGUAAGGAAGGGAGAGAUGCAGAAGAGAAAGGUUGGGAAGACGGUGUGUGUGCAUGUAUGUUUCAGGCUUGCUGUCUAUUUCCUGCUCUAAUAAUUUGUUAAAUAAAAAAUUGGCUCCAGACUUAAGUCCUAAGUGAACUAGAGUUCACUGUUCUCCAAGCAAAGAAGCAGCUAUUUAUUCACAUUCGUUGUUCUCAAUGCUUAAUCCACGGCAGACUUUACCCUUGGCCCCCAAAUAACACCAUCUUCCUUAAUUAUCUCCUCUGGUCAGAGGCCACUUGGGAAAAGAAUCGCAAAUUGAGCUCAUCCUGCCCAACGGUUACUGUCCUCGUCUGCCACUUACACUGUUAGCAAUGUGCUUGGCAUAUGCUGAGAACGGCUCAAGGGUGGACCCAGCCUCAGCGCCUCCAGACUCGAAACUAGACAGGAUACAAGAGGAGAAAUAAUAAAUAAAUAACGGCAGAGGCAAAAAGAGGUUUCAUUUUAAAUCUCCCAGAGCCCCCACAUCUGGAACACAGGGACCAUGUCUGGUUUUGGAUGUUGUUGAGGUUUGGCCUUCUUUAGCUCGAAUUCCUCUGAGCAAAGCUGAUCCCCCUCUGUCCUUCGUGGUGAGCGAGAGUGUUUCCAUUUCGAUGCUUUGCAUGCAGAUCCAAGCAGCACAUGGGUGGCGGUACUGGAUAAGCGCUAAGUUCCUUUUCGGCCUGAAGAUUCUGUGAUCCCAUUGAGGGGAAAGUGCACCCUUGACAAUUUAUUGGUGGUAAUUUCCUGUGUUCAUUCUGGCUUCCAGUUGAUUCUACUUUUCUGUAUAUUGCUCAAAUCCAUUCACUUUUGUUCUUCUCUGCUGGUUCUUCCUAAAUUCACAUUUCAUUUGCCUGAAUGAUUUGCAAGAUCUCAGCUAUGGACUGAAGGUUUGUAACCUCCCCAAAUUCACAUAUGGAAGCGCUCCCCCCUCAAUGUGAUGGUGUUAGGAGAUGGGGCUUUUGGGAAGCGAUUAGGUUUAGAUGAGGUGUGGAGGGUGAGGGCCCCUGUGGUGGGAUUAGUGCCCGUAGAAGAGGAAGAGAACAGAGCUUUCUCUCUUUCUGCCACGUGAGGACACAGCAAGAAGGUGACCAUCUGCAAGUACGAAGAGGGGCCUCACCAGACACCAAAUCUGCAUCAUGAUCUUGGACUUCCCAGCCUCCAGAACUGAGAGAAAUAAAUAUUUGUUGUUUAAGCCCCGGAGUCUAGGGUAUUUUGAUAGAGCAGCCCGAACUGCCUAGCACUGUCUCCAGCUGCUUCCACUCUUGUUGCAGCCCUCUUACACAUCUCCCCUGUUCCAUCCUGAAGCACAAUGCAGAUAACGCCACACCCCAGCCUGAAAACCCAGAGGGCCCCUCACUGCCUAUGGAGUCAGGCCCACAUCUUUUAACCCAGGUAGCCAUGCUUGACCAGUGGUAAAUUACUCAUCAGCCCCAUUGUUAUUAACACCCAAUGUCAAGACUCUAAGACGCCACCUGGCUGCCAAAAGAAAGUCCUGCCUUUUGCAGUGCCUCCCUCUCUGAAAGUCCUGGAGAUGUCCAAGGUGCUUCUAUUUCCUGCAGGUCAAGCCUAGUUACUGGUCCCUCUGUCGCCCUUUGCACAGCCAAUGCCGGACACUCUUGACACGAAAGGUGAAUGCCAGAGACCUGCAGUGGUCAAGAACGUGAGAGCCAGUGUGUCUCCCAUUUUUUGAGCUUUAACUUAAAAACAUUAAAAACGCCACCGAUGAAACACCAAUGGUUUCCAAGUAGUUAGUAAAGAAAUUGUAUUCAUACCAAAAAAAUAAAAUAAAAAUGCCCUAAAUUGCAAACAGAAGUGGUAUAAUUAAAGUAUAUAUAUUUAAUAAAUUAAUGCUUUUCACACACACAAAAAUCAAUGCAAUAUGAUUGUACUAGUUAUAGGAUAAUUAGAGGUUUUAUAGAGGAAGAAUAAAUCUUUACACUUAUAUAAGAAAGUAUAAGAGUUUAUCUUUGUGUCCUUAGAGCAAGAGGAAUUUCUUAAAUAAGACAAAAAAACGCAAAUCAAGAGGGAAAUAGCCUUACAUUUGGCUAUAAUAAUACUUAAAACUUCUAUGUAAUAAAAAUAUACUUAAACCAAGUUAUGGGCAAGCCACAGACUGGGAGUAGAUAUUCGUAAAGCAUAAUCAACAAAGGAACAAUUUAUAGAAUAUGUAAAGAAUGCAUACAAAUCAAUAAGAAGAAAAAAACAAUCCAAUAGAAAAAAUGGUGAAGUUCCAAAGAGGGAAUUCACAAAAGAGGACAUCUGAGUGGCUAAUAAAUACAUGAAAAGACGUUCAAUCUCAUCAGUAAUCAGGAGAAUGAAAAUUAAAACGAGAUGCUAUUUUAAAGCCACUAGAUUGGCAAGAAUUAAAAGUCCAGCAAAACUAAAUGCUGUAAAAAUGUGGGGGAAUUGGGGCUGUCUUAUGGUGGUAGCAGGAAUGGAAGACAUUAAAACCUUUUUGGAGGGCAAGUGAAUGUUCUCCGGUAAAGUCAAAGAUGUAUAUAUCCUCUGACUCAUUAAUUCCUCUUCCAGGAGAAUGUGCACAAAGAGACACAUACAAGGAUAGUUGUCAUAGCUAAAAAUGGGAAAUCAUUUAAAUUUCCAUCAAUACAGGAGUGGGAAAAUGUUGCAUAUUCAUAUCAUGGAAUACUAUAUAGCAGUUAAAAUGACUUAAAAACCCUCUAAAUAUAUCAACAUGAAGGAAUCUUAAAAUGUAACGUUAAUGGAGUUAUUGUUAAACAGGUAUGAAGUUUCAUUCCAGGAAGAUGAAAAAGUUUGGGACAGGGCUGGUGGUGAUGGUCACACAAGGUGAAUGUGGUUAAUGCCAUUGAACUGUAUACUUAGAAAUGGUUAAAAUGGUAAAUUUUAUGUUAUGUAUAUUUUACCACAUUAAAAAAGAAAAUCAUAAUGAACAGAAAAAGUGCACCGUGAAAUGCAUUAGGUGGCACAUUCAUGACAUUUAAAGACUUUAGAUAAUACUACUACAUACUUAUGGAAUCUGCAUGUAUAUGAUAAAUAUAUAAAGACGAAGAUGAGAAGGAGUCUCAGAUGCAAGACAUUGACUUCUGGGAACGAGAGGAGGAAAGUCUGACUUGGUGGCUAUGCUUGAAUUCUAUCUGUGACAUUUUAUUUCUUUUGUAAAAAAUCUAAGAACUCAUUAAAAUGUUAACACAAA